CCCAUGCCCACAUACACACACACACACCUCAGAUGUGUAGGACACUGUGUAUAGGCCUACAAGACAUUCCCCGGAAAAUGUGUCUUCUAGUUUAAACAAAACUCUCGAUUCUUUUAAGCAGCAUUUUACAUCCUAAAGGGUUAGGUUUAGAAGGCAUGUAAUACGCGCGUUUCUUAUAAAACACCGUCUUUAAAACGUUUACCUCCUAAAGGGACCUAUUUAGAAGAUGUGUUGUUAUCUCUAGCAUCCCUGCUGGUGCCUCUGCAAAUUACACCUGCAACAUGAGGGGUCGUCAUGUGAACAUCAUCAUUCCCAAUGUUAUCCAGGCUCUCACGCUCUGUGAAGUGGAAGUCUAUGGGGUUCCAGUGCCUGUUACUAAGAGGGCAUUUCUGAGAUUGAAGUUUAACAUCAACGAUAUCUGCCAAUGUCCAGCCUUCAGUGCGUCAGAUCUGUUGGACUACAGAACCAGAGGUGGAAAAUGAAACUUAAAAAACGGUGGCAGAAAUAUAUCUGAAACAAGAAGAAGAAGAAGCGGAAGAAGAAGAAGAAGUGUUCAAAGAACAAAAAGAAAGAAAAAACAUCAAAUGUGUGAGGUUUGGGUUUAGC
Molecule: long non-coding RNA, 606 nt
Organism: Ictalurus punctatus (channel catfish)
Lineage: Eukaryota; Metazoa; Chordata; Actinopteri; Siluriformes; Ictaluridae
Source: Ensembl